AUUGAACGCUGGCGGCAGGCCUAACACAUGCAAGUCGAGCGGAUGAAGGGAGCUUGCUCCUGGAUUCAGCGGCGGACGGGUGAGUAAUGCCUAGGAAUCUGCCUGGUAGUGGGGGAUAACGUCCGGAAACGGGCGCUAAUACCGCAUACGUCCUGAGGGAGAAAGUGGGGGAUCUUCGGACCUCACGCUAUCAGAUGAGCCUAGGUCGGAUUAGCUAGUUGGUGGGGUAAGGGCCUACCAAGCCGACGAUCCGUAACUGGUCUGAGAGGAUGAUCAGUCACACUGGAACUGAGACACGGUCCAGGCUCCUACGGGAGGGAGCAGUGGGGAAUGUUGGACAAUGGGCGAAAGCCUGAUCCAGCCAUGCCGCGUGUGUGAAGAAGGUCUUCGGAUUGUAAAGCACUUUAAGUUGGGAGGAAGGGCAGUAAGUUAAUACCUUGCUGUUUUGACGUUACCAACAGAAUAAGCACCGGCUAACUUCGUG
RNAcentral lists this ribosomal RNA (484 nucleotides) under uncultured bacterium. Its description in RNAcentral is "partial 16S ribosomal RNA". It matches the Rfam family "Bacterial small subunit ribosomal RNA", at positions 30 to 507 of the family's 1533-position model. The record is from RNAcentral.